This 723-nucleotide ribosomal RNA is filed under the name uncultured bacterium. Its description in RNAcentral is "bacterial SSU rRNA". It matches the Rfam family "Bacterial small subunit ribosomal RNA", at positions 28 to 807 of the family's 1533-position model. The record is from RNAcentral.
AACGAACGCUGGCGGCAGGCCUAACACAUGCAAGUCGAACGAUGUAGUGGCAGACGGGUGAGUAACGCGUGGGAACGUACCUUUCACUACGGAAUAGCUCUGGGAGACUGGUGGUAAUACCGUAUACGCCCUCCGGGGGAAAGAUUUAUCGGUGAAAGAUCGGCCCGCGUUGGAUUAGCUAGUUGGUGAGGUAAUGGCUCACAAAGGCGACGAUCCAUAGCUGGUCUGAGAGGAUGAUCAGCCACACUGGGACUGAGACACGGCCCAGACUCCUACGGGAGGCAGCAGUGGGGAAUCUUGCACAAUGGGCGAAAGCCUGAUGCAGCCAUGCCGCGUGAAUGAUGAAGGCCUUAGGGUUGUAAAAUUCUUUCGUCAGGGAUGAUAAUGACCGUACCUGAAGAAGAAGCCCCGGCUAACUUCGUGCCAGCAGCCGCGGUAAUACGAAGGGGGCUAGCGUUGUUCGGAAUUACUGGGCGUAAAGCGCACGUAGGCGGACUUUUAAGUCAGGUGUGAAAUCCCGGGGCUCAACCUCGGAACUGCAUUUGAAACUGGAAGUCUUGAGAUCAGGAGAGGUUAGCGGAAUACCGAGUGUAGAGGUGAAAUUCGUAGAUAUUCGGUGGAACACCAGUGGCGAAGGCGGCUAACUGGACUGAUACUGACGCUGAGGUGCGAAAGUGUGGGGAGCAAACAGGAUUAGAUACCCUGGUAGUCCACACCGUAAAC